UGGGGAAUAUUGGGCAAUGGGCGCAAGCCUGAACGAGCAAUGCCGCGUGUGUGAAGAAGGUCUUCGGAUCGUAAAGCACUGUUGUAAGUGAAGAAUGCCACAUAGAGGAAAUGCUAUGUGGGUGACGGUAGCUUACCAGAAAGCCACGGCUAACUACGUGCCAGCAGCCGCGGUAAUACGUAGGUGGCAAGCGUUAUCCGGAAUCAUUGGGCGUAAAGGGUGCGUAGGUGACACGAUAAGUCUGAAGUAAAAGGCAACAGCUCAACUGUUGUAUGCUUUGGAAACUGUCGAGCUAGAGUGCAGAAGAGGGCGAUGGAAUUCCAUGUGUAGCGGUAAAAUGCGUAGAUAUAUGGAGGAACACCAGUGGCGAAGGCGGUCGCCUGGUCUGUAACUGACACUGAUGCACGAAAGCGUGGGGAGCAAUAGGAUUAGAUACC
Molecule: ribosomal RNA, 437 nt
Filed under: uncultured bacterium
Lineage: Bacteria
Description: bacterial SSU rRNA
Rfam family: Bacterial small subunit ribosomal RNA
Source: RNAcentral